Molecule: ribosomal RNA, 366 nt
Filed under: Laonice cf. antarctica MB
Lineage: Eukaryota; Metazoa; Annelida; Polychaeta; Spionida; Spionidae
Description: partial 16S ribosomal RNA
Rfam family: Bacterial large subunit ribosomal RNA
Source: RNAcentral
ACCGUGCUAAGGUAGCAUAAUCAUUUGCCUCUUAAUUGGUGGCUAGUAUGAAUGGACACACGCAAGCGCUGCUGUCUCAUUAAUAUAAAUAAAAAUUAACCUUCAAGUGAAGAGACUUGAAUAAAAUAAAAAGACAAAAAGACCCUAUGGAGCUUUAUUCAACCGCCCUGCAAUCUAAUAUUUAUAAAAUUUACUACAGCGCUAAUGAAUUCAGUUGGGGCGACUAAGGAAAACAAUAAAUCUUCCUUCACAUAAAGAAAAUAAUUCUCUCAAAGAUCCGCUAUGCGAAUACAGAUCCAGCUACCCUAGGGAUAACAGGCUAAUUCUUCUCGAGAGCCCAAAUUGACAGAAGAGAUUGGCACCUCG